This 85-nucleotide transfer RNA is filed under the name Erysipelotrichia bacterium. RNAcentral's name for it is "tRNA-Tyr". It matches the Rfam family "tRNA". Rfam says of the family: Transfer RNA (tRNA) molecules are approximately 80 nucleotides in length. Lineage: Bacteria; Bacillati; Bacillota; Erysipelotrichia. RNAcentral also lists the same sequence under 1 other name. The record is from RNAcentral.
GGAGGGGUAGCGAAGUGGUUAAACGCGGCUGACUGUAACUCAGCUCCCUACGGGUUCGGGGGUUCAAAUCCCUCCCCCUCCACCA